Mercenaria mercenaria is the source of this 891-nucleotide long non-coding RNA. RefSeq lists it as uncharacterized. NCBI's taxonomy places the organism in Eukaryota, Metazoa, Mollusca, Bivalvia, Venerida, Veneridae. The record is from RefSeq and is a predicted model, not a curated record. The transcript is spliced from 6 exons.
AUUUUCAGGCAUUCCUCGGAUGUUUCAAACCAGUUACUCUCGUUGGACAAGUCGUCAGCGGUGUUGCCCUUCUUCCCGAUGUUGUGGUCAUAUUAAUAAAUGGAAAAGAAUUCCAAUUUCUAAAACAGGUUCAGCGAACAGAGAAAAGGAUAAAACCGGUCGAGGAAGCUCUGAGGCUCGUUUUAGGACAACAUGAUCCUGAAGAUAUAUGCGAAAAAUAUAUCAACGACUUUAUAGGUCGAGGUGUUUUUGCUAAAAAAAAUUGAUCAGAAAUGGAAAAUUCCUUGCGGAAUACCAUGGCGUUUUAUCUAAGGCUGACGACGUGAAGGACAAAAAUACAAACUACACACAUUUCUUUGACUUUAAUGGUGUCAAGUACUGCAUUGAUGCCUCAGAGGAACCAAACCUGUAUCAACCAUCGUUAGGACGGCUAGUAAAUCAUGCAGACACAAAACAACAGAGAAAUUCAAGAAUAACAGUCAUUGGUGUGAAUGAGGUUCCUCAUCUUGUACUGUUUGCGACUAGAUUUGACUUGUAAUGAAAACUGCGUCGAUGAACCAGUUCAGUCUCCUGUAGAACGCAGAGCGUGUGAAUACCAAAGGAAGGUCUGUAGUUCGAUUGGUCAUGAGAACAACAACAGUGGUGUAACAUCGGCUUCCAAACGCAAAGCAGAAUUUCCAGUACAAACAGGCAAAAAGAUCAAAGUCGUUUCUUGGACAGAGGAGCAGUUAGCGGCCAUGCAAAGGUCAUUCGCCAAAAAUCUCCGCUGCUUAAGAGUUCCUAACAAGGAGGAAUGCGAACGAGCAAGGAAAAAUGAGAGCCUGUUGCUUUCUCGUGACUGGAAGAAUAUCAAAUUCCGUGUCAAUCAUGAAAUACAAAGAUUAAAGAAAA